Molecule: ribosomal RNA, 112 nt
Filed under: Pteropus alecto (black flying fox)
Lineage: Eukaryota; Metazoa; Chordata; Mammalia; Chiroptera; Pteropodidae
Source: RNAcentral
UUCUAGGGCCAUGCCACCCUGAACAAGCCGUCUGAUCUUGGAAGCUAAGCAGGGUCAGGCCUGGUUACUACUUGGAUGGGAGACCACCUAGGAAGUCCAGGUGUUGUAGGUG